This 450-nucleotide ribosomal RNA is filed under the name uncultured bacterium. RNAcentral's name for it is "partial 16S ribosomal RNA". It matches the Rfam family "Bacterial small subunit ribosomal RNA", at positions 354 to 796 of the family's 1533-position model. The record is from RNAcentral.
GUGGGGAAUAUUGGGCAAUGGGCGAAAGCCUGAUCCAGCAAUGCCGCGUGUGUGAAGAAGGCCUUCGGGUUGUAAAGCACUUUUGGCAGGAAAGAAAUAGUGCGUGCUAAUACCAUGCGCGAAUGACGGUACCUGCAGAAUAAGCACCGGCUAACUACGUGCCAGCAGCCGCGGUAAGACGUAGGGUGCAAGCGUUAAUCGGAAUUACUGGGCGUAAAGCGUGCGCAGGCGGUUUUGUAAGACAGGUGUGAAAUCCCCGGGCUCAACCUGGGAACUGCACUUGUGACUGCAAGGCUAGAGUGUGUCAGAGGGAGGUGGAAUUCCGCGUGUAGCAGUGAAAUGCGUAGAGAUGCGGAGGAACACCGAUGGCGAAGGCAGCCUCCUGGGAUAACACUGACGCUCAGGCACGAAAGCGUGGGGAGCAAACAGGAUUAGAAACCCUUGUAGUCC